This 466-nucleotide ribosomal RNA is filed under the name uncultured bacterium. RNAcentral describes it as "bacterial SSU rRNA". It matches the Rfam family "Bacterial small subunit ribosomal RNA", at positions 330 to 793 of the family's 1533-position model. The record is from RNAcentral.
UCCAGACUCCUACGGGAGGCAGCAGUGAGGAAUAUUGGUCAAUGGCCGGAAGGCUGAACCAGCCAAGUCGCGUGAGGGAAUAAGGCCCUAUGGGUCGUAAACCUCUUUUGUCAGGGAGCAAAGGCGUCCACGAGUGGACGAAAGGAGAGUACCUGAAGAAAAAGCAUCGGCUAACUCCGUGCCAGCAGCCGCGGUAAUACGGAGGAUGCGAGCGUUAUCCGGAUUUAUUGGGUUUAAAGGGUGCGUAGGCGGAUUGUUAAGUCAGCGGUAAAAUGUCCGGGCUCAACCCGGGCCGGCCGUUGAAACUGGGGAUCUUGAGUGGGCGAGAAGUAUGCGGAAUGCGUGGUGUAGCGGUGAAAUGCAUAGAUAUCACGCAGAACUCCGAUUGCGAAGGCAGCAUACCGGCGCCCGACUGACGCUGAGGCACGAAGGCGUGGGGAUCGAACAAGAUUAGAUACCCCCGUAG